This is a non-coding RNA of Pelobates cultripes (western spadefoot toad), 233 nucleotides long. The record is from the annotation of a GenBank genome assembly. NCBI's taxonomy places the organism in Eukaryota, Metazoa, Chordata, Amphibia, Anura, Pelobatidae.
CCUGAUGUUGAUAUAGUGCUUGCUAUGUGAAUUGUUGUAUGUCUUAUUGAAUGGUAGGGGUCAGUGAACAUGGUGUUGCAAAAUGCAAGUGCACUGGAGAUCUGCCGAGUGCCCUAUAGGUGGCAGUGUAGUUGGAUACUGAUUGGUAUGUGAAAUGUUGUUUGUCUGUUGACCUAUAGGUGUAAGUGUUUUGGUGUUUGUAAAACCCCAUGAAAAUUGUCAAUGUACUUGAC